UUAUGUUUCUCUUUGUUCUUGAUUCGCUUGAUGUUACUUCUAUGCGUAAUCGAGGUGUUUCAUGGGGUAAUUUGUUUUAAUUUAUAAUUUUAUGCGGGAUUUUGGGAUUUGAACUUAGCCCAGGAUUAGAUACAAAUGUAGUCGAUUAUCAAUUUUUUUGGGAUUUAACUAGAUAAGUCCUUUUCCCCUUAUGGAUAUGAUUAUAAUCAACUAUGCAUGUCUCUUAGUUUCUUUUUGAGUUUCAAAGAGAUAGAACUAUGAGCGUGGAACUCAUUCGGAACUUCACUAGAUAUCUUCACCAUCAACAUGGAUAGCUACAGACAAGUCUUUGAAAGUGGAAAUUGCUCGUGCAUUGUGGGGAAAAAGGGACAACGCUUCAACUAUAAGACGUUCGAGGGGAGCUCAAUUUAUAGAUGUUGAGUCUAGCCAUGUGCUCUAUUUGGAAAGAGUCACUAUUACCGAAGAAACAUUGUCUAAGGAAGCUAGCCUACUAUCCCAAAAGAGAGAGGGAGACGAGAAGAAUGUGAAUGCAAAAGGAAAGUUAAAAGUCCCGAGCUC
Long non-coding RNA from Lycium ferocissimum, 558 nucleotides. RefSeq lists it as uncharacterized. Lineage: Eukaryota; Viridiplantae; Streptophyta; Magnoliopsida; Solanales; Solanaceae. The transcript is spliced from 4 exons. The record is from RefSeq and is a predicted model, not a curated record.